GGGGAUUUAGCUCAGUGGUAGAGCGCUUUCCUAGUAAGUGAAAGGCCCUGGGUUCGGUCCCCAGCUCCA
Molecule: non-coding RNA, 69 nt
Organism: Rattus norvegicus (Norway rat)
Lineage: Eukaryota; Metazoa; Chordata; Mammalia; Rodentia; Muridae
Source: Rfam